UACGGGGGGGGCAAGCGUUGUUCGGAAUUACUGGGCGUAAAGGGCUCGUAGGCGGCCAACUAAGUCCGACGUGAAAUCCCCAGGCUUAACCUGGGAACUGCGUCGGAUACUGGAUGGCUUGAAUCCGGGAGAGGGAUGCGGAAUUCCAGGUGUAGCGGUGAAAUGCGUAGAUAUCUGGAGGAACACCGGUGGCGAAGGCGGCUCUCUGGGACGGUACUGACGCUGAGACGCGAAAGCGUGGGGAGCGAACAGG
RNAcentral lists this ribosomal RNA (253 nucleotides) under uncultured bacterium. RNAcentral's name for it is "partial 16S ribosomal RNA". It matches the Rfam family "Bacterial small subunit ribosomal RNA", at positions 524 to 776 of the family's 1533-position model. The record is from RNAcentral.